UCCUUGAGCUGCGGUUGAUGUGGUGGUUUGCUGUUGUGGAUGAUGCAUGCAGGGGCUGCUGGAGAACACGGAGAAGGACAGGGUCCGGAGGCUGAUAGGCUCAAGCCUCCCGUGGAGCCAUGAUUUUCCCAGUUGAUGGAUCUUUCCUGUGCACGCUGGCAUCCAGGUCGGCAACGCGUGCUGGGAACUUUACUGCCUCGAGCACGGCAUCCAGCCUGAUGGACAGACGAACGGUGACAAGACCAUCCGGUGAUUCGCUGCUUGCAAACAACAGCUAGUAAAUCGGUCACCGUGGGGGCGGGGACAUGAGAUUCAGAGAAGAGAUGCUGCUGCCUGCCUAUACUAGUUCAUAUGCUCGUCCCUGGACCAGAUGUUCAAGACAGCCCC
Triticum aestivum (bread wheat) is the source of this 387-nucleotide long non-coding RNA. RefSeq lists it as uncharacterized. The transcript is spliced from 3 exons. Lineage: Eukaryota; Viridiplantae; Streptophyta; Magnoliopsida; Poales; Poaceae. The record is from RefSeq and is a predicted model, not a curated record.